This 255-nucleotide ribosomal RNA is filed under the name Escherichia coli. RNAcentral describes it as "partial 23S ribosomal RNA". It matches the Rfam family "Bacterial large subunit ribosomal RNA", at positions 459 to 717 of the family's 2925-position model. The record is from RNAcentral. Lineage: Bacteria; Pseudomonadati; Pseudomonadota; Gammaproteobacteria; Enterobacterales; Enterobacteriaceae.
UCCAAGGCUAAAUACUCCUGACUGACCGAUAGUGAACCAGUACCGUGAGGGAAAGGCGAAAAGAACCCCGGCGAGGGGAGUGAAAAAGAACCUGAAACCGUGUACGUACAAGCAGUGGGAGCCUCUUAAUGGGGUGACUGCGUACCUUUUGUAUAAUGGGUCAGCGACUUAUAUUCUGUAGCAAGGUUAACCGAAUAGGGGAGCCGAAGGGAAACCGAGUCUUAACUGGGCGUUAAGUUGCAGGGUAUAGACCCG